This 253-nucleotide ribosomal RNA is filed under the name uncultured bacterium. RNAcentral describes it as "partial 16S ribosomal RNA". It matches the Rfam family "Bacterial small subunit ribosomal RNA", at positions 524 to 776 of the family's 1533-position model. The record is from RNAcentral.
UACGUAGGUGGCAAGCGUUGUCCGGAUUUAUUGGGUUUAAAGGGUGCGUAGGCGGCUUUGUAAGUCAGUGGUGAAAUAUGGCAGCUUAACUGUCAGUGUGCCAUUGAUACUGCAGAGCUUGAGUACAGAUGAGGUAGGCGGAAUUGACGGUGUAGCGGUGAAAUGCUUAGAUAUCGUCAAGAACACCUAUAGCGAAGGCAGCUUACUAGGCUGUAACUGACGCUGAGGCACGAAAGCGUGGGUAGCAAACAGG